Molecule: ribosomal RNA, 291 nt
Filed under: uncultured bacterium
Lineage: Bacteria
Description: partial 16S ribosomal RNA
Rfam family: Bacterial small subunit ribosomal RNA
Source: RNAcentral
GUGGAUUAGAUACCCGGGUAGUCCACGCCCUAAACGAUGUCUACUAGUUGUUGGGAGAGUAAAAUCUCUUAGUAACGCAGCUAACGCGUGAAGUAGACCGCCUGGGGAGUACGGUCGCAAGAUUAAAACUCAAAGGAAUUGACGGGGGCCCGCACAAGCGGUGGAUUAUGUGGAUUAAUUCGAUGCAACGCGAAAAACCUUACCUGGCCUUGACAUGUAGCGAACUUAGCAGAGAUGCUUUGGUGCCCGAAAGGGAACGCUAACACAGGUGCUGCACGGCCGUCGACAACU